GAUGAACGCUGGCGGCGUGCCUAAUACAUGCAAGUCGAGCGAACGGACGAGAAGCUUGCUUCUCUGAUGUUAGCGGCGGACGGGUGAGUAACACGUGGAUAACCUACCUAUAAGACUGGGAUAACUUCGGGAAACCGGAGCUAAUCCGGGAAAAUAUUUUGAACCGCAUGGUUAAAAAGUAAAAGACGGUCUUGCUGUCACUUAUAGAUGAAUCCGCGCUGCAUUAGCUAGUUGGUAAGGUAACGGCUUACCAAGGCAACGAUGCAUAGCCGACCUGAGAGGGUGAUCGGCCACACUGGAACUGAGACACGGUCCAGACUCCUACGGGAGGCAGCAGUAGGGAAUCUUCCGCAAUGGGCGAAAGCCUGACGGAGCAACGCCGCGUGAGUGAUGAAGGUCUUCGGAUCGUAAAACUCUGUUAUUAGGGAAGAACAUAUGUGUAAGUAACUGUGCACAUCUUGACGGUACCUAAUCAGAAAGCCACGGCUAACUACGUG
RNAcentral lists this ribosomal RNA (497 nucleotides) under uncultured bacterium. RNAcentral's name for it is "partial 16S ribosomal RNA". It matches the Rfam family "Bacterial small subunit ribosomal RNA", at positions 28 to 507 of the family's 1533-position model. The record is from RNAcentral.